AUUGAACGCUGGCGGCAGGCCUAACACAUGCAAGUCGAGCGGAUGAAGGGAGCUUGCUCCUGGAUUCCGCGGCGGACGGGUGAGUAAUGCCUAGGAAUCUGCCUGGUAGUGGGGGAUAACGUCCGGAAACGGGCGCUAAUACCGCAUACGUCCUGAGGGAGAAAGUGGGGGAUCUUGGGACCUCACGCUAUCGGAUGAGCCUAGGUCGGAUUAGCUAGUUGGUGGGGUAAAGGCCUACCCAGGCGACGAUCCCUAACUGGGCUGAGAGGGUGAACAGUCACAAUUGAACUGAGAGACGGUCCAGACUCCUAAGGGAGGCAGCAGGGGGGAAUAAUGGACAAGGGGGGGAAGCCGGAUUCAGCCCUGCCGCGGGUGGGAAGAAGGCCUUCGGGUUGUAAAAGACUUUUAGGGUGGAGGAAGGGGGAGAAGGUAAAAACCUUGCUUUUUGACGGUACCCAAAGAAGAAGCAACGGCUAACUUCGUG
RNAcentral lists this ribosomal RNA (484 nucleotides) under uncultured bacterium. Its description in RNAcentral is "partial 16S ribosomal RNA". It matches the Rfam family "Bacterial small subunit ribosomal RNA", at positions 29 to 507 of the family's 1533-position model. The record is from RNAcentral.